UACGGAGGGUGCAAGCGUUAAUCGGAAUACUGGGCGUAAAGCGCACGCAGGCGGUUUGUUAAGUCAGAUGUGAAAUCCCCGGGCUCAACCUGGGAACUGCAUCUGAUACUGGCAAGCUUGAGUCUCGUAGAGGGGGGUAGAAUUCCAGGUGUAGCGGUGAAAUGCGUAGAGAUCUGGAGGAAUACCGGUGGCGAAGGCGGCCCCCUGGACGAAGACUGACGCUCAGGUGCGAAAGCGUGGGGAGCAAACAGGAUUAGAUACCCUGGUAGUCAAGGGCGAAUUCGC
This 285-nucleotide ribosomal RNA is filed under the name uncultured Enterobacterales bacterium. RNAcentral describes it as "partial 16S ribosomal RNA". It matches the Rfam family "Bacterial small subunit ribosomal RNA", at positions 524 to 809 of the family's 1533-position model. The record is from RNAcentral. Lineage: Bacteria; Pseudomonadati; Pseudomonadota; Gammaproteobacteria; Enterobacterales.